Schistocephalus solidus is the source of this 83-nucleotide non-coding RNA. Lineage: Eukaryota; Metazoa; Platyhelminthes; Cestoda; Diphyllobothriidea; Diphyllobothriidae. The record is from Rfam.
GGCCUCGUAGCUCAGUUGGCUAGAGCGUUGGUUGUAUUAAAGCCUUCCCUUUGAUGGCAUGGGUUCGAAUACCACCGAGGCCG